AGUGGUUAGAGCGUAGGGGUGGCAGGUAGCCUAGUGGUUAGAGUGUAGGGGCGGCAGGUAGCCUAGUGGUUAGAGUGUAGGGGCGGCAGGUAGCCUAGUGGUUAGAGUGUUGGGGCGGCAGGUAGCCUAGUGGUUAGAGUGUAGGGGCGGCAGGUAGCCUAGUGGUUAGAGUGUAGGUAGCCUAGUGGUUAGAGCGUAGGGGUGGCAGGUAGCCUAGUGGUUAGAGUGUUGGGGCGGCAGGUAGCCUAGUGGUUAGAGUGUAGGGGCGGCAGGUAGCCUAGUGGUUAGAGUGUAGGGAGGCAGGUAGCCUAGUGGUUAGAGUGUAGGUAGCCUAAUGGUUAGAGUGUAGGGGCGGCAGGUAGCCU
Molecule: long non-coding RNA, 365 nt
Organism: Oncorhynchus tshawytscha (Chinook salmon)
Lineage: Eukaryota; Metazoa; Chordata; Actinopteri; Salmoniformes; Salmonidae
Source: Ensembl